GAUGAACGCUUUUGGGAGGCCUAACACAUGCAAGCCGAGCGGUAUUGUUUCUUCGGAAAUGAGAGAGCGGCGUACGGGUGCGGAACACGUGUGCAACCUGCCUUUAUCUGGGGGAUAGCCUUUCGAAAGGAAGAUUAAUACUCCAUAAUAUAUUGAACGGCAUCGUUUAAUAUUGAAAGCUCCGGCGGAUAGAGAUGGGCACGCGCAGGAUUAGCUAGUUGGUGAGGUAACGGCUCACCAAGGCGAUGAUCUUUAGGGGGCCUGAGAGGGUGAUCCCCCACACUGGUACUGAGACACGGACCAGACUCCUACGGGAGGCAGCAGUGAGGAAUAUUGGUCAAUGGGUGCAAGCCUGAACCAGCCAUCCCGCGUGAAGGACGACUGCCCUAUGGGUUGUAAACUUCUUUUGUAUAGGGAUAAACCUACCCUCGUGAGGGUAGCUGAAGGUACUAUACGAAUAAGCACCGGCUAACUCCGUGCCAGCAGCCGCGGUAAUACGGAGGGUGCAAGCGUUAUCCGGAUUUAUUGGGUUUAAAGGGUCCGUAGGCGGACUUAUAAGUCAGUGGUGAAAGCCUGUCGCUUAACGAUAGAACUGCCAUUGAUACUGUAAGUCUUGAGUAUAUUUGAGGUAGCUGGAAUAAGUAGUGUAGCGGUGAAAUGCAUAGAUAUUACUUAGAACACCAAUUGCGAAGGCAGGUUACCAAGAUAUAACUGACGCUGAGGGACGAAAGCGUGGGGAGCGAACAGGAUUAGAUACCCUGGUAGUCCACGCCGUAAACGAUGCUAACUCGUUUUUGGGCUUUAGGGUUCAGAGACCAAGCGAAAGUGAUAAGUUAGCCACCUGGGGAGUACGCUCGCAAGAGUGAAUCUCAAAGGAAUUGACGGGGGCCCGCACAAGCGGUGGAUUAUGUGGUUUAAUUCGAUGAUACGCGAGGAACCUUACCAAGACUUAAAUGGGAAUUGACAGCUUUAGAAAUAGAGCUUUCUUCGGACAAUUUUCAAGGUGCUGCAUGGUUGUCGUCAGCUCGUGCCGUGAGGUGUUAGGUUAAGUCCUGCAACGAGCGCAACCCCUGUCACUAGUUGCCAUCAUUCAGUUGGGGACUCUAGUGAGACUGCCUACGCAAGUAGAGAGGAAGGUGGGGAUGACGUCAAAUCACCACGGCCCUUACGUCUUGGGCCACACACGUAAUACAAUGGCCGGUACAGAGGGCAGCUACACAGCGAUGUGAUGCAAAUCUCGAAAGCCGGUCUCAGUUCGGAUUGGAGUCUGCAACUCGACUCUAUGAAGCUGGAAUCGCUAGUAAUCGCGCAUCAGCCAUGGCGCGGUGAAUACGUUCCCGGGCCU
RNAcentral lists this ribosomal RNA (1345 nucleotides) under uncultured bacterium. RNAcentral describes it as "bacterial SSU rRNA". It matches the Rfam family "Bacterial small subunit ribosomal RNA", at positions 28 to 1381 of the family's 1533-position model. The record is from RNAcentral.